This 462-nucleotide ribosomal RNA is filed under the name uncultured bacterium. RNAcentral's name for it is "bacterial SSU rRNA". It matches the Rfam family "Bacterial small subunit ribosomal RNA", at positions 331 to 792 of the family's 1533-position model. The record is from RNAcentral.
CCAGACUCCUACGGGAGGCAGCAGUGAGGAAUAUUGGUCAAUGGGCUUACGCCUGAACCAGCCAAGUCGCGUGAGGGAAGACUGCCCUAUGGGUUGUAAACCUCUUUUGUCAGGGAACAAGGCGGGGACGUGUCCCCGGAUGAGUGUACCUGAAGAAAAAGCAUCGGCUAACUCCGUGCCAGCAGCCGCGGUAAUACGGAGGAUGCGAGCGUUAUCCGGAUUUAUUGGGUUUAAAGGGUGCGCAGGCGGCCUGUUAAGGCAGGGGGAAAAGCCCGGGGCUCACCCCCGGCGAGCCGUUGAAACUGGCGGGCUGGAGUUGGAGAGAAGUACGCGGAAUGCGCGGUGUAGCGGUGAAAUGCUUAGAUAUCGCGCAGAACCCCGAUUGCGAAGGCAGCGUACCGGCUCCACACUGACGCUGAGGCACGAAAGCGUGGGUAUCGAACAGGAUUAGAUACCCGCGUA